Molecule: small nuclear RNA, 166 nt
Filed under: Arabis alpina (gray rockcress)
Lineage: Eukaryota; Viridiplantae; Streptophyta; Magnoliopsida; Brassicales; Brassicaceae
Description: snRNA ENSRNAG00050206555
Source: RNAcentral
GUAGGGGCUGCGCGAACGCAAACCCCCUCGACCACACAAAUAAUGACGCAGGUUCUUCCACUUGGGAAGACCUUAAGCAUAGCACCCUUCCUUUACGUGCAAUGGAAGUCACUAGCCUAGGCCACUCUUCUUCUUUAACGAGAGUCGACCCCGUCCAGGUAAGUAU